Molecule: ribosomal RNA, 836 nt
Filed under: uncultured bacterium
Lineage: Bacteria
Description: bacterial SSU rRNA
Rfam family: Bacterial small subunit ribosomal RNA
Source: RNAcentral
GCAGUCGAGGGGUAUUGUUCUUCGGAAUGAGAGACCGGCGCACGGGUGCGUAACGCGUAUGCAAUCUACCUUUUGCAGAGGGAUAGCCCAGAGAAAUUUGGAUUAAUACCUCAUAGUAUGUGAGAAUGGCAUCAUUUUCACAUUAAAGUCACAACGGCAAAAGAUGAGCAUGCGUCCCAUUAGCUAGUUGGUAAGGUAACGGCUUACCAAGGCUACGAUGGGUAGGGGUCCUGAGAGGGAGAUCCCCCACACUGGUACUGAGACACGGACCAGACUCCUACGGGAGGCAGCAGUGAGGAAUAUUGGACAAUGGGCGCAAGCCUGAUCCAGCCAUGCCGCGUGCAGGAUGACGGUCCUAUGGAUUGUAAACUGCUUUUGCACAGGAAGAAACAACUCUACGUGUAGAGUCUUGACGGUACUGUGAGAAUAAGGAUCGGCUAACUCCGUGCCAGCAGCCGCGGUAAUACGGAGGAUCCAAGCGUUAUCCGGAAUCAUUGGGUUUAAAGGGUCCGUAGGCGGUUUAGUAAGUCAGUGGUGAAAGCCCAUCGCUCAACGGUGGAACGGCCAUUGAUACUGCUAGACUUGAAUUAUUAGGAAGUAACUAGAAUAUGUAGUGUAGCGGUGAAAUGCUUAGAGAUUACAUGGAAUACCAAUUGCGAAGGCAGGUUACUACUAAUGGAUUGACGCUGAUGGACGAAAGCGUGGGUAGCGAACAGGAUUAGAUACCCUGGUAGUCCACGCCGUAAACGAUGGAUACUAGCUGUUGGGCGCAAGUUCAGUGGCUAAGCGAAAGUGAUAAGUAUCCCACCUGGGGAGUACGUUCGCAAGAAUGAAAC